UUAUGUUGUAGUGAUUUGCUGGCU
Molecule: non-coding RNA, 24 nt
Filed under: Arabidopsis thaliana (thale cress)
Lineage: Eukaryota; Viridiplantae; Streptophyta; Magnoliopsida; Brassicales; Brassicaceae
Source: RNAcentral